UAUUUCUAGCCAACUAGCCUCAAACGCAACUCCAACAGCCAAAAUUAAUACCCCCUAACGCACGACACUCCACCAACCAAACCAUUUUUCCUCUUUAGUACGGGAGACAGAAAAAGAAUAAAGCGCAAUAGACCAAGUACCGCAAGGGAAAGUUGAAAGAGAAAUGAAAUAACCCAAAAAAGAAGCCAUAAAAGCAGAGAUUAACCCUCGUACCUUUUGCAUCAUGAGCUAGCAAGAAAAUGCAUGCAAAAAGAGUUAAAGUAUGCCCCCCGAAACUAAGCGAGCUACUCCAAGACAGCCUAAAAGAGCAAACCCGUCUCUGUGGCAAAAGAGUGGGAAGAUCUUCGAGUAGCGGCGAAAAACCUACCGAGCUUAGUGAUAGCUGGUUGCCCGGGAAAAGAAUAUUAGUUCUGCCUUUUCACUUAUCCUCUUAACCCCUGCCCAACAGCAAAAGUAAAAAUAGAAUAAGAGUAAAGAGUUAUUCAACAGAGGUACAGCUCUUUUGAACAAAGAAACAACUUUUUUAGCUGGUCAAAGAAUAACCACAAAGGGCUCCCCACACGUGGGCCUAAAAGCAGCCACCACAAAAGAUAGCGUUAAAGCUCUAACCCCAAACCUCCCUCCUAUUACAAUAAAUUGCUCUAAGACCCCUAAAACCUACCUGGCCCUCCUGUGCCCGCACAGAAGAGAUUAUGCUAGCAUGAGUAAUAUGAGAGCCAAGCCUCUCUCCUCACAGACCCUUAAAUCACAACUAACACCCAAUGAAAAUUAACGCCUCCACCCCCAAGAGGAGACUGAGCAGCAGAUCAACACCCAGAAAAACACUCAACACAACAGCGUUAACCCAACACAGGCCUGUGCCAGGAAAGACAUAAAGAAAGAGAAGGAACUCGGCAAACACUUUGCCCCGCCUGUUUACCAAAAACACCGCCUCUUGACUAACCUAUAUAAGAGGUCCUGCCUGCCCUGUGACUAAUGUUCAACGGCCGCGGUAUUUUGACCGUGCAAAGGUAGCGCAAUCACUUGUCUUUUAAAUGAAGACCUGUAUGAAUGGCACAACGAGGGCCAACCUGUCUCCUCUUUCCAGUCAAUGAAAUUAAUCUUUCCGUGCAGAAGCGGAAAUGCCCCAGUAAGACGAGAAGACCCUGUGGAGCUUAAGGUUAUAAGAUGGAGCCUGCCAAUGACCCCCACAGAGAAAAAGCAUAAGGACCCCCACUUUACCCCUUUGGUUGGGGCGACCGCGGAGAAUAAUAAAACCUCCACACGGAAUAAAAACCACAUUAAGCGCAGGGCUUCAACCCUACGCCGCAGAAAAUCUGACCCUUAGAUCCGGAACUACCGAUCAAUGGACCGAGUUACCCCAGGGAUAACAGCGCAAUCCCCUUUCAGAGCUCAUAUCGACAAGGGGGUUUACGACCUCGAUGUUGGAUCAGGACCCCCUAAUGGUGCAGCCGCUAUUAAGGGUUUGUUUGUUCAACAAUUAAAGUCCUACGUGAUCUGAGUUCAGACCGGAGUAAUCCAGGUCAGUUUCUAUCUACUUAGCGUCUUUUUCCAGUACGAAAGGACCGAAAAAGAGAGGCCUAUUUUUAAUAUAUGCCUCACCCCCACCCUCUGCCCCCCACUAAAGAGGGCAAGCGGGAGCUUAUCCCACCCCUAGAGUUAGGGGAA
This 1668-nucleotide ribosomal RNA is filed under the name Kraemeria cunicularia (transparent sand dart). Its description in RNAcentral is "16S ribosomal RNA". The stretch from base 98 to 1560 matches the Rfam family "Bacterial large subunit ribosomal RNA". The record is from RNAcentral. Lineage: Eukaryota; Metazoa; Chordata; Actinopteri; Gobiiformes; Kraemeriidae.